GAUGAACGCUGGCGGCGUGCCUAAUACAUGCAAGUCGAGCGAACAGACGAGGAGCUUGCUCCUCUGACGUUAGCGGCGGACGGGUGAGUAACACGUGGAUAACCUACCUAUAAGACUGGGAUAACUUCGGGAAACCGGAGCUAAUACCGGAUAAUAUAUUGAACCGCAUGGUUCAAUAGUGAAAGACGGUUUUGCUGUCACUUAUAGAUGGAUCCGCGCCGCAUUAGCUAGUUGGUAAGGUAACGGCUUACCUAGGCGACGAUGCGUAGCCGACCUGAGAGGGUGAUCGGCCACACUGGAACUGAGACACGGUCCAGACUCCUACGGGAGGCAGCAGUAGGGAAUCUUACGCAAUGGGCGAAAGCCUGACGGAGCAACGCCGCGUGAGUGAUGAAGGUCUUCGGAUCGUAAAACUCUGUUAUUAGGGAAGAACAAAUGUGUAAGUAACUAUGCACGUCUUGACGGUACCUAAUCAGAAAGCCACGGCUAACUACGUG
RNAcentral lists this ribosomal RNA (497 nucleotides) under uncultured bacterium. RNAcentral's name for it is "partial 16S ribosomal RNA". It matches the Rfam family "Bacterial small subunit ribosomal RNA", at positions 28 to 507 of the family's 1533-position model. The record is from RNAcentral.